Long non-coding RNA from Passer domesticus (house sparrow), 6646 nucleotides. RefSeq lists it as uncharacterized. NCBI's taxonomy places the organism in Eukaryota, Metazoa, Chordata, Aves, Passeriformes, Passeridae. The transcript has 3 exons. The record is from RefSeq and is a predicted model, not a curated record.
CUCCUCCUCUUCCUCUCCCCUCGCGCUGCCUCAGCUCCCCCCUGUCCGCUCCCUGCGCCCGGCUGCGGGUGGGACGGGACGGGACGGGACGGGGGAGGAAGGGAGAAGAUGGUGGAGGAGGAACUGGUGCUGCUCAACAAGCUCCAACAACCUUGGAAACUUUUUUUUUUUUUUUUUUUUUUUUAAUGCCUGAAUAACAUCCCAAAUGGGAUCAUAUUUUUGGUCUCAACCUUUCCCAGAAAGUCACCAACCUGAGCUGGGGCUAGGAUGGAAAAUGUCUGUGACUAAAGCCCCUCCCUUGAGCCCUAUAAACAGCAGCCCUGAGUGAGACCCUUGGAACUCUCCUGGGCCGCAGCAGCUGCAACAGCAGCUGUGAACUCUCCUGUUUGCUGCACUUGGGGCAUCCCCAAAUGAUGACGGGUCCUGGGCUGAGCCCCUCAACUCCUCCAGGCUCUGCCCUGCACCUGGUGGGAAGAUGCAAAGGCAACUGAAAGGAGAAUUCCACUGGAUUCCAGGGGAAUUCCCCACAGGGACCUCGUACAGACGCCUUCUGUCCAUAUGUGUGUGACACUGAAUAUGCCAUAGCAAAUGUCCUGGGAAUGCCGCUCUCCUGGAGUCGGAAGUACUUAAGAUGUGGAGAGCAAGGACAGAGUAGUUUUGAUGGCACCCAGUAUCAAGCCAGGGUCAACCCACCACCAAAUCCUACAUAGUCCAGGACUGCAGGAAAAGCUUUGGAAGAAGCUCCAACCUCAUCAAGCACCAGUUGAUCCAUACUGGGUAGACCCUCUGGAUGCCAAAACUAUGGGAAGGGCUUCACUGUGAGCCCGAAGUUCCUGGAACACCUCUAAGAUCCAUCUGGAGGAGGUCUCUAAAAGUUCUCUGGCUGCAGGAAGAGGCAUAAGGAGUCAAGGUCCUGCCAGAACUAUCACCUGAAGUAGAAGGUGGUGACAAACCUUAAGCCCAGGGCCCCAGGAGCACCUGAGGCUUUCCAGCUAGACUCUGCUGAGCCCCAGGAAGGGGCUCACACAGCCUCUCAUUCUGCCUCCAAAAUCCCUUGGGAUCCCCCAUCCAUCUCUGCAUUCCCCCUCCAAGAUCUCCAGGCUCCUGAGAUGAGCACAAAGGAGUGGAAGUCCCCGACUAGGGAGACCAUAAACCCCAAAAUUUUAUCUCCAUUCACAAAUUUUCUGUUUUCCUCUGCUUUUCCCCUUUCCGUGUUCUGCCACAGCAGGUGGGAGCAGCCAAGAGCUCAGCGCUGCCCAUCCAGACCUGCCCCAGCUCCAUCCCUGCUCCUCCUGCGGGACACAAGGGGUUUUGGGGGGAAGGGUGGGCGCUGGUUGUGGGAGGAGGAGGAGGAGAAGGAAUGGAAGAGGAAGGACGAAGAAGGAGCGGGAUGAGGGCGGAGGUAAGAGGAGAAGGAGGUGGGAGUACAGAGGACGAGGAAGAGGAAGCGGAAAGGAAUGAAGCUCACGGGGACAGCGCUGAGUGUAUCCGCAGCCGCUCCCCUCGCGGGAGCAUUGCCUGCACACCUUCAUCCCGCAGGUGACUGGGGAGGGGCAGCUCGCCCCAAAUAUCUUGAGAGGGAGGGGAGUGUCCCUGGGACUAUUUUAUUUUUCGGGGGGGCGAAGAUAUUUCAAGUUCACCCCGAAUAUCUUGGGGCAGGUCUCUUGUUUUUUUUUCGGGGGAUGGGGGAAUGUUUCGUCCUUGCAGGAUACCAAAGCAAACGCCCCCUGGGAGGAUUCUGCGGAGUCUCCAGGAGGUGUUUUUUUGUGAGGAUGGUCCCAGGGGCGCCUGCCGGCCGUGGGCGGGGGAUUACCCCGCCUGCUGGGGCUGCGCCUUGCCGGGUCCGGCCCUGCUGCCUCCGCUGCCAGCCCAGAGCUGCCGAUGGCGGCCGGCGGGAGGUAUGACACGUGCUGGGGACUCUCCCGGGAGAGCCGGAUGGGGUGUGGGAGCACUGGGACCCCCAGAAUGGGGACAGUGGAGAGGGGCCAUACCGAAGCUUGAGGACCCAUAGCAGCCUGGAAGCGGAUGAAGAAUGGAGAGGAGGGGGCCCGGUGAGGAGGGAUCCUGAAAAGGGGGGAGUCCCGCCGGGACCCUGAAAUUGGGAACCUGGAGAGGGGAAACCCCUGGGAGCCUAGAAAGGAGGGAGGAGCCUGAAAGGGGAAAGCAUGGAGAGGGGGCACCCCCAGGAGUCUGGAGAGGGGUAUCGCCUUGUAGCCCUGAGAGAGAAGGAAGGAGCCUGGAGAGGUGGGAGCCCUUGGAUCCCCGGGAUGCUGAAAAGGGAACCCUGGAGACAGGGGACCCCCAGGGGCCUAGAGAGUGGGGAUCCUGGAGAGGGGUGGGUUAUGACCAACCUCUGAAGAUUUAUAGUGGUAUCUAUCUGUCUGUCUAUCUGUCUAUCUAUCUAUCUAUCUAUCUAUCUAUCUUUAUGCACAUUUUUUUUGAGAACUCCCCAGUUUGGAUGUAGUGGAAAGGAGGUAGGCAACCAUUUUGGUUAUGAUUAUCUACAGAAAUGCAACAAUAUAAAAGCAUAAAAAUAACAUGUAAGAAAACAUAUAAGGAAAAGAAAGAAAGAGAAAGAAAGGUUAAGAGUAGAAAGGUAUAACUAUCUGUGGAUCCAGACAUGGGACUUGACUGUUGCGAUUUUGAUGUCGGUUGAAGUGAUGGUCACUGUGCUGAUUUGCUGGGGCUGGGUGAGGCCCAUGAAACACAGACUUCAGUGGGUUAAUAUAUGCUUGGGGUUUUGCAGGAAGGUCUAUGUUCUUCCCCUGGAAGGGGGAGUUUGCACAGUCUGUUGAAACACUGUGGAUUUGUUACAACACUGUGGAUUUAUUGCAACACUAGAUCAUAUGCAGUGCUCCGGUGGAAGGCUCCAGAAAUGAGUCUGCCCCAUCAGAAGGGAUGAAAACCUUCAGCCCUCUGUCUGAAUGUUCCAGUAUGUCUGAAUGUCCCAGUAUGUCCCUUGGGGAGGGGGGAGUUUUUACAAUUGAGCCAGUUGUGUUAAGGAUAAAAUUGCCCUGCUCAAAAGCACUGUCCCACCUUGCUGGAUCAGCUUAUUAUAGGAUUCUUCCCUUAUUUGGCUCAAAGCCCAGCUUCUUGCUAAACCAAGUUUGAUUUGUUGUGGUCAUCCGCUGGGGCUCACACCCUCUGCAUCUGGGCUGUUCCCUUGGACAUAAUCAACAAAGCCCCCCUGCUUUUACAAAUGGCCAAUUGUUUGAGCCAUUAACCCAGAACAUUCCAGUCUCUCACAGUGAGACCUUCAGAAGCACUAACAGCUCAGAGUGGAGGAAGUCUUGGGGCCCCCAGCAGCCCAGGGAGCCCUGGAAUUCUGAAAUGGUGAGUCUAUAGAGGGGGGACUCCCAGCAGCCUGGAGGUGGCGGGGAGCAUGGAAAGGGGGAGCCCCAGGACCCCUGUCAUGAUCCACUGGUAGGGGAGUGAUGUUUGUUAUAAAUUUGCAUCAAGCUAAACAAAGACCCGGACACAUCUUACGUUUUGUUGUUCCCAGCAGUUCCAUGAGUUCUCUCCUCCCACCACAAACUCCUCCAAGGCACUGGCUUACAAGUGUGUGGAGCAGCACAACUCCACAAUGUCCCCAGUCCCACCACAGUUCGUGUGGAGAAUGGGAGAGGUGUGCUUUGCCCAGGCACAGCCAGGGAAGGAAGCAAAGAAUAUUUCCAGUGCUUCAAUCCUGUGUUGGUGCUGCCAUGUGGAUGGGCUAGAGCUGGGCAGAAAAAAAACAGAAAGAGAGAGGAGAGAGGGAGAAUAAAGAGAGGCAGGGAAAACAGAGAAAAAAGAGCGAGGGGGCCUGAUCUGCUCCCUUUUGUAGUUCACCUGGUGCAGCCUCUUGUGUAAACCAGACUUUUGGUGGGUUUUGUUCCUGUGGGUGCAGGUGUUCUUCUCCAGUGGGUGAGACAGGGGGGCUGAGCACAAGUCUUGGGGCAGAGCAGGGAGUUCCUAGAAUCACAGAGUAGGCUGAGUUGGAAGGGACCCAUCAGGAUCACCAGUCUUUCUCUGGGACUUGCACAGAACACUCCAACAAUCCCACCAUAGGCUGACAACAUUGUCCAAAUGCUCCUUGAACUGAGACAGGUUUGGAAUUGUGACCACUUCCCUGGGCAGCUUCUUCAGUGCCUGACCAGCUGGGGUAAAAACCUUUUCCUGAUACCUCACCUAAACCUCCCUGACUCAGCUCCAGCUGUUUCCUUGAGUCCUGCCACUGAUCACAAGAGUGGAGAGGUUGGUACCUGCUCCUCUGCUGCCCCUUGGGAGGAUGCUGAAGAGCUCAGUGAGGUCUGCCCUCAGUCUCCUCCAGCUGAACAGAUAAAGUGACCUCAAUGGCUCCUCAUAAAGCUUCCACUCCAGACCUUUCCCAUCCUUGUGGCCUCCUUUGGAUGCUCUCCAGUGGCUAAAUGUCUUUUUUAUGUUUUCGUGCCCAAAACUGCCCCCAGGACUCAAGGAGGCUGCCCCGUGCAAAGCAGAGGACAAACCCCUCCCCAGCCAGGCUGACGAUGCUGGGCCUGAUGACGCCAGGACAUGGAUGGCCCUCCUGGCUGCCAGGCACUGCUGAUUUAGAUCCAAGUGGACAUUGACCAGGACCUCCAGGUCCCUCCCCACAGCUGCUCUCCAGUAUCUUAUUCCCCAGUCCAUACACACAACCAGGGGCACCAUCUCAGGUGCAGAAUCUUGCACUCGCCCGUGUUAAACUUCACACUGUUGGUGAUUGCCCGCAUCUCUGAUUUGUCGAGGCUUUUUUCAGGGCCUCUCUGCCUGUGCAGGAGUUCAUAGCUCCUUCCAAUUUAGUAUUGUUGGCAAACUUUCUUAGUAUUCAUUUGAGUCCUGCCUCCAAGUCAUUUAUGAAGAUGUUGAAGAGAACUGGGCUGAUGAUGGAUCCCUGUGGAACCCCACUAGUGACUGGUGCCAGCUUGAUUUCACCUGUCACUGUCACCCUUUGUGCCCAACAUGUAACACAGUUAUUCAGCUGUGGGCUGGAACGCGCCCUGGGCCUGGAGCAGGAGCAGCUUUUGAGGGCCAUGAGGCUGGGGCUCUUGUGCUGGCAUGGGCAGAUGGGAUGGCAGCAGGGGCUGCAGAGCUCUCAGGAUCUCCUGGAGAGGGGAGCAGGGCACUCAGGGAGCCUCCUUUGGCCUUGGCCCAGCACCUUCCCCCAUGGCUGGGGCUGAGUCCUGUGUGAGCUGCAGCUGCUGCUGUGCCCUUGGCAGGGGCUGAGGCCGUGGGGCCAGUGGCCAGAGCAGCCUGGCCUGAGCAGAGCUGUGGGGCCAGAGCCGGCUGGGCUGGGCUGGGGAGAGGCCCUUGGUGCUGCCCAGAGCUCAGGGCAGCUGGCAGAGCUUGCAGGGAGCUGGGCUGGGCUCAGAGAGCCUGCCCCAGAAACCAUCAGCAUCCAUCUCAGCCUGGCUGAGUGUGCAGGGGCAGGACUCAGCCCAGGCCUUGUGGGGCAGGGCCAGCGCCUGUGCAAGGCAUUGCAAACAGGCAAAUGCCCCAGAGAGGAGGCUGCUCUGUGCCCUUAGGGGCAUGGACAGAGCAGGGAGGGGUCCCAGGACAUUUGUCACUGCCAGCCUCUGUCCCCAGCCCUUGGCAGCCCUGGCUGCUGAGCCCAGCUUUGCCCUGGGCUGAGUUUGGCUGCGGCCCAGCUCCAUCCUCCUGCGGGGCUCAGGGCCUGUUCCUGGCCAUGGCCAGCCCUGGCCGGCCUCUCUGCUGGCCCAGAGGCCGGCAGAGCCCGGGGCAGGGCUGUCUGUGCAGGCCCACAGGUGCCAUGGGCUGUGCAGGAGCUGGCAGAGGCUGCCCAGCAGGGAGGCCAUGGGGCACAGAGCCCCAAGGCUGCUGUGGGCACCACGGCACAGGGGCCGUUCCCAGCCGCAAUGCUCCUGGCCUUGGGCUUGGGGCCCAAGGGACAUGUGAGGAAGCAGGGCUGCGAUGUCACAGGACAGGUUACAAACAGGAGCCAUGAAGAAACUGGGUAACAGCAAGGCCAGCAAGAGACAGGGAAUUUCUGUGCAUUGUUUGUGCUGUGCAGGGCUGCUUCAGAACAGGGAGGGGGAUUUAAUACCAGCAAACGCUGAUACUGAUAUUGAGGGAUAAAAUGGCUUCUUUGCCUGAGUCUUUGCUGGAAAGGUCUCUCAGAUCUCUGCAUUCAUUGAAGGGCUACAAGGAGGAGGAAAGCAUGUAUUGACAGGAACCUCACUGGGGGGGGGGGUGGAAGGGGUUAAAAGCAGAAGAUUUGGCAAGGAAUAAAAAACCAAGAAAAACUAUAUUUUCACUCAAACAUGACCUUGCAGCUGAAAUAUGCUAAUAUUUGGUGGGAGAAAUUUCACAUAUUGUGAUUGCUUUGGGUUGUUUCUGUCUGCUUUGAGAAGUGGAAUUUCUGCAGAAGAGGAUGUUGUAAAAAAGUCCUAAAAUGCAUUUUGCACAGACCUUAGGCCUCCUGGUGAGAGGGAAGAGAGAUAAGAAGCUCGGAGAUUGCAAAAGCACAGCCUUGUGAAGAAAUGUGUCUUUGAUGGGCCCUGUGGUAUGUUAUGGCCGGGGAACGGGCUUGGCAUGUGUUCUUUUUGCUCCUGUUAAGAUGGAAUAAGCUUAGGACUGUAUAUGUCCCCUUUUCCUAGCGUGGCGAUAGAAUAAAUCUACUCUUUACACUUCA